AACGAACGCUGGCGGCAUGCCUAACACAUGCAAGUCGAACGAGACCUUCGGGUCUAGUGGCGCACGGGUGCGUAACGCGUGGGAACCUGCCCUUAGGUUCGGAAUAACUCCCCGAAAGGGGUGCUAAUACCGGAUAAUGUCUUCGGACCAAAGAUUUAUCGCCUUUGGAUGGGCCCGCGUUGGAUUAGCUAGUUGGUAGGGUAAAAGCCUACCAAGGCGACGAUCCAUAGCUGGUCUGAGAGGAUGAUCAGCCACACUGGGACUGAGACACGGCCCAGACUCCUACGGGAGGCAGCAGUGGGGAAUAUUGGACAAUGGGCGAAAGCCUGAUCCAGCAAUGCCGCGUGAGUGAUGAAGGCCUGAGGGUUGUAAAGCUCUUUUACCCGGGAGGAUAAUGACAGUACCGGGAGAAUAAGCUCCGGCUAACUCCGUG
Molecule: ribosomal RNA, 433 nt
Filed under: uncultured bacterium
Lineage: Bacteria
Description: partial 16S ribosomal RNA
Rfam family: Bacterial small subunit ribosomal RNA
Source: RNAcentral